GACGAACGCUGGCGGCGUGCCUAACACAUGCAAGUCGAACGGAAAGGCCCUGCUUUUGUGGGGCGCUCGAGUGGCGAACGGGUGAGUAACACGUGAGUAACCUGCACUUGACUUUGGGAUAACUUCAGGAAACUGGGGCUAAUACCGGAUAGGAGCUCCUGCUGCAUGGUGUGGGUUGGAAAGUUUCGGCGGUUGGGGAUGGACUCGCGGCUUAUGAGCUUGUUGGUGGGGUAGUGGCUUACCAAGGGUUUGACGGGUAGCCCACCUGAGAGGGUGAACGGCGACAAGAGGACUGAGGUACGGACCAGAAUGCUAUGGGAGGCAACAGUGGAGAGUAUGACACAGUGGGGCGGAGCCAGAUGCAGAAACGCCGCGUGCGGAAUAACGGGCUUCGGGUUAUGAACAGCUUUGGCAUGUAACGAAGCGUGAGUGACGGUAAUGGAUAAGAAAGCACCGGCUAACUACGUG
Molecule: ribosomal RNA, 468 nt
Filed under: uncultured bacterium
Lineage: Bacteria
Description: partial 16S ribosomal RNA
Rfam family: Bacterial small subunit ribosomal RNA
Source: RNAcentral